This 439-nucleotide ribosomal RNA is filed under the name Bacillus cereus. Its description in RNAcentral is "bacterial SSU rRNA". It matches the Rfam family "Bacterial small subunit ribosomal RNA", at positions 22 to 449 of the family's 1533-position model. Lineage: Bacteria; Bacillati; Bacillota; Bacilli; Caryophanales; Bacillaceae. The record is from RNAcentral.
GCUCAGGAUGAACGCUGGCGGCGUGCCUAAUACAUGCAAGUCGAGCGAAUGGAUUGAGAGCUUGCUCUCAAGAAGUUAGCGGCGGACGGGUGAGUAACACGUGGGUAACCUGCCCAUAAGACUGGGAUAACUCCGGGAAACCGGGGCUAAUACCGGAUAACAUUUUGAACUGCAUGGUUCGAAAUUGAAAGGCGGCUUCGGCUGUCACUUAUGGAUGGACCCGCGUCGCAUUAGCUAGUUGGUGAGGUAACGGCUCACCAAGGCAACGAUGCGUAGCCGACCUGAGAGGGUGAUCGGCCACACUGGGACUGAGACACGGCCCAGACUCCUACGGGAGGCAGCAGUAGGGAAUCUUCCGCAAUGGACGAAAGUCUGACGGAGCAACGCCGCGUGAGUGAUGAAGGCUUUCGGGUCGUAAAACUCUGUUGUUAGGGAAGAA